RNAcentral lists this ribosomal RNA (253 nucleotides) under uncultured bacterium. RNAcentral's name for it is "partial 16S ribosomal RNA". It matches the Rfam family "Bacterial small subunit ribosomal RNA", at positions 524 to 776 of the family's 1533-position model. The record is from RNAcentral.
UACGUAGGGGGCAAGCGUUGUCCGGAUUUACUGGGCGUAAAGAGCGCGCAGGCGGUCGUUCAAGUCGGAUGUGAAAGCCCCCGGCUCAACUGGGGAGGGUCAUUCGAUACUGAUCGACUCGAAGGCAGGAGAGGGAAGCGGAAUUCCCGGUGUAGUGGUGAAAUGCGUAGAUAUCGGGAGGAACACCAGUGGCGAAGGCGGCUUCCUGGCCUGUUCUUGACGCUGAGGCGCGAAAGCUAGGGGAGCAAACGGG